UGACAGUGGAUCCAAAAUGCUUAUGCUAAGCCUGGACAGAAUUCAGAGAUGUCUGACUCAUGCUUGUCAUUUCUGAUCAUUUGUCAUGUUUUUCUAAGAAUUUGUACCUAAGCAUGCAGUGAUAAUCUCUGUUGCCAGCACUGGAGAACACCGGCUGAGGUUACUAUAAUUAUCUGUUUCACAGCCAUGCCUCAGGUAGCAGAGUAGAAUUUGAUGCCUCAUGCACUGAACAACCCUGCCUUCCAUAACCAGGGAAGAUGAACUGAGCAGCCAUUGAUCAUCCUGACACUAACAUACUCAGGCUCCUUUUCUUGAUUGGAUUUUCAGGGAAGCAGCUUGCAUCCUAAGAAAUAUGAGGCCACAUCUACCCUUUUGAGGCAUACAGCACAGCAGGGAUAACCUACUGCUUCCUUGUGAGGGUCUCGGAAUCAGGCUGUUGAAACUGGAGAUGGCAAAGAUACGUCAGCUGUAAGAUCUGCUUCCCGCUGUGGCACUUCAGGAUUCUUGCCCACCAGUGUUCCUUCUAGAGGAGACUUUUCAAAGCCUUACCUCCCAAUGUCAGAGGCCUGGUACAUCUUUGUGCCAUCUCCUCCACUCUU
Molecule: long non-coding RNA, 599 nt
Organism: Gavialis gangeticus (Gharial)
Lineage: Eukaryota; Metazoa; Chordata; Crocodylia; Gavialidae
Exons: 3
Source: RefSeq, a predicted model, not a curated record